AUGUCCAGGUGUGCAUCAUUGCUCCGGGCACCAGGAUGUUCCUUAUGGCGUCUGUGCACUGGUGUGUGUCCCAGAAAUAGACACGUCCUUCGGUCUGAGCACCCCUGCACCCCAGCCUGCCCACCGCGCGGCACACCUGCAAGCUCCGGUCGGGGCGCUGCGCUGACCCCAGUCCCCGCAUCACCUGACCGCCCGCGGCUCUGUCUGCCCCGCCCCCUCCAGACGCCGGCUCUGCGUUGCGUAUUCGCUCUGGCCAUAGUGGGCCUUGUGUUGCUGCUGCUGCAGCCCGAGGGUGCCCUGGGCGAGGAGUUGCAAGUGCCACAGCCCAGGGCCGCCAGUUGGCUGAACUUAGGCUCCUUCAAGAAGUACAUAGGGAAGCUCUUCAACAGCAGCCCGAAGAAAUCUAAAAACCACAAGAAAACUGCGAACGCCACGAACGCCUCCCCAUCGAAAGGCACGAAAUACCCUCCAUGGACCACCACGAACCCCCAGUGGCUGAAUACCUCGGAACCCCGACCACCGACCUCCUCCCGGGGCCCCAGGUAGGACAGCCUGGACGCUUGGCACCGAGCCAGGGGCCUCGGGACUGGGGGAAGCUUGGGUGAUAGAGAGAGGAAGCUCCUGGGGGCGGGCAUUCGGGGAGACACAGCGCCCAGGCGGGGGAGCUUCGUUCUCCAGGCUGGGCCUUGGCCUCCAGACGCCUCUCUCCCACCAACCCCUUUAUAUUGAGAGGGGCCUCAACCCGUCCUCAUCCCCUCAGUGGAAACAAUAAAGACAAAUUUCUGUUGCUUCAGUGACUUCUGUGGGCCUGGGGUCAGGGAGGGACCAGUCCAUUGGAGGGGAAGGGGGCCUCUGGAGUUUCUGCUGUGGGAGAAAAAGACCUCAGCUGUUGGGGGUCCUCCUCUGGUAACCCAUCCACCUUCCUCCACGUCACCCAUACAUGGCCUUGUGGGUCUGGCCCUCCACCCCGUGAUAGAGACACAGAUGCAGGUCCUGGAGAACACACUUACUGCCCUGGUAGUCCUGCACAGAUGGCACCAGUGUGGGGGCUCUAACCCGGAGGGAGAGCAGAGGUGAGAGAAGAAACCUCAAAGGAGGGGCUUCAGCUAG
This 1110-nucleotide long non-coding RNA is filed under the name Macaca mulatta (Rhesus monkey). Its description in RNAcentral is "lncRNA (ENSMMUG00000054521.1)". The record is from RNAcentral. Lineage: Eukaryota; Metazoa; Chordata; Mammalia; Primates; Cercopithecidae.